This 77-nucleotide transfer RNA is filed under the name Abditibacteriota bacterium. RNAcentral describes it as "tRNA-Pro". It matches the Rfam family "tRNA". From Rfam's summary of the family: Transfer RNA (tRNA) molecules are approximately 80 nucleotides in length. Their secondary structure includes four short double-helical elements and three loops (D, anti-codon, and T loops). Further hydrogen bonds mediate the characteristic L-shaped molecular structure. tRNAs have two regions of fundamental functional importance: the anti-codon, which is responsible for specific mRNA codon recognition, and the 3' end, to which the tRNAs corresponding amino acid is attached (by aminoacyl-tRNA synthetases). tRNAs cope with the degeneracy of the genetic code in two manners: having more than one tRNA (with a specific anti-codon) for a particular amino acid; and 'wobble' base-pairing, i.e. permitting non-standard base-pairing at the 3rd anti-codon position. The record is from RNAcentral. Lineage: Bacteria; Pseudomonadati; Abditibacteriota.
CGGGGUGUGGCUCAGCUUGGUAGAGUGCUCGGUUCGGGUCUGAGAGGUCGGGAGUUCAAAUCUCCCCACCCCGACCA